This 253-nucleotide ribosomal RNA is filed under the name uncultured bacterium. Its description in RNAcentral is "partial 16S ribosomal RNA". It matches the Rfam family "Bacterial small subunit ribosomal RNA", at positions 524 to 776 of the family's 1533-position model. The record is from RNAcentral.
UACGGAGGGUGCAAGCGUUAUCCGGAUUCACUGGGUUUAAAGCGUGCGCAGGCGGUGAUGUAAGACAGAUGUGAAAUCCCCGGGCUCAACCUGGGAACUGCAUUUGUGACUGCAUCGCUGGAGUGCGGCAGAGGGGGAUGGAAUUCCGCGUGUAGCAGUGAAAUGCGUAGAUAUGCGGAGGAACACCGAUGGCGAAGGCAAUCCCCUGGGCCUGCACUGACGCUCAUGCACGAAAGCGUGGGGAGCAAACAGG